UCCUACGGGACGCAGCAGUGGGGAAUAUUGCACAAUGGGGGAAACCCUGAUGCAGCGACGCCGCGUGAGUGAAGAAGUAUUUCGGUACGUAAAGCUCUAUCAGCAGGGAAGAAAAUGACGGUACCUGACUAAGAAGCCCCGGCUAACUACGUGCCAGCAGCCGCGGUAAUACGUAGGGGGCAAGCGUUAUCCGGAUUUACUGGGUGUAAAGGGAGCGCAGGCGGAGGUGCAAGUCAGCGGUCAAAUUGCGGGGCUCAACCCCGUACUGCCGUUGAAACUGCAUCCCUUGAGUGCGCGAGAAGUAU
RNAcentral lists this ribosomal RNA (305 nucleotides) under uncultured bacterium. RNAcentral describes it as "bacterial SSU rRNA". It matches the Rfam family "Bacterial small subunit ribosomal RNA", at positions 337 to 660 of the family's 1533-position model. The record is from RNAcentral.